This is a non-coding RNA of Sander lucioperca (pikeperch), 74 nucleotides long. Lineage: Eukaryota; Metazoa; Chordata; Actinopteri; Perciformes; Percidae. The record is from the annotation of a RefSeq genome assembly.
GGUGCUGUGUCUUAGUUGGUUAAAGCGCCUGUCUAGUAAACAGGAGGUUGUGGGUUUAAAUCCCAGCAGCGCCU